GUUCAGUAAACGACACAAGUUUUCCCGAUGUACUCCGGGUUUUACAUCAGUGUUGUUUGCAACGCCGUAUCCUUCAAUUUCAUUGAAGACAUCAAGCGAACAUAAACUUGAACGGUGUAUGAUGUGCUUGCAAAAGUAAAAAAACAACGUACAUAAACGCCAACGUGUACAUAGAGAUUUUCAUUGAAAAGGUGUACUCCGGAAUUAUUCCGCUUUUGACUCCAUUUUAUAUUUUUAUUUGAGCUCUCUACGUUUGAGGUAGCAAAGGUAUACACAUGAAUACAAAAACGAAAAAAAGUUUCUUUUUUUCUCUCUUUUGAAAUGAAAAGGUUGAAAAGCAUUUUAAUUUGAGGAUAUUCCAACCUGAAGCAAGUUGUACCAAUGUUAAUGAUGGAAGACCCUGUUAGAAUACUGUGCAUACCUGGGGCUAAAACUUAAUCAAAGAUGACCUAUGCUGAAGUGGUGAGACUUGCUAUGCAUGUAACAGGAGACCAAACUGAGACCACCUUUGAUAUAAAGUGUAUAGAAAUGAAGAAAUCAAUGGGAGCCCCUGCCAAAAAGAGGAGUGUUGUUACAGAAUAUAAGUUCCCAAUGAAACAGGGUAUAGAUGAGUGAUCUAGUGUUUGAGUUCACUGAGGAUGUGGCUGUCAUCCUAACAAACAAAGGUUUACAUAGUAUUUAUCAGGCAACAUUCAGACAGUCAGAUAUUCUACAUUUCGGAUACGGAAUAAAGAAAUUGCUGUUGAGGAAGAGAGAAGUUUCUGUGACGAGAUUGAUACACAUAGAGCAUUUGAGUGUAAUGAAGUUGUGAGUAGUAUUUUAACCAAAAGAACAUCUACCCUAACAACAGUGAAGAUUAAAGGGAUCAGUUGCUGUAUGGUGAUAUUGAAAGAAAUCCAGGACCUACAAUGGUUUAUGAAGACUUCUUAGAGCUUGCCAUAUAAGUGUCAACAAUUUUAAAGAACAGAGAAGACUAUUAUUGCACUUAGUUUUGAGUUUUUGUUUUAUAUUUUAUCACUAUGAUAGACUAAUGUUAAAUUCAGGAAUUGUAUUUUUCUGAUAUAUCUGUUUUGUAAUUACGUUUUACUCAUUUUUAAAUACGUUUGAGACGUUUUUUUUAUACCUUUUCCUACUUGAGUAGCAUUGACAACUAUUUUAAGUUUUUAGUAAGGUUACUUUCUUUGGGUUUUGUAUUUUAUAAUAUUAAGAUGUCAUACUUGAAUACCUUGUAGUUAUGAACUGUGUAUUUUACUUCUUGAUUCUUUGAUAUGUGUAGUAUUAUUCUCCCCCCCCUCCAAUUAUAUUUAGUUUUGUAAAAUAUAUUUUCCAUAAGGCCUGUCAACAAUGGAUGCCUCUCUAGAUAAAGAUUAAAUAAUCUUGGCAAACAUUAAAUAUGAAUUUCAAAAGAAAAAAAUAUGUAUGAAGACUCCAUACAAAACUACUUUGGAAAGUAUCACUCCAGUGAUUCUUCUGGUAAAAUUCAGGUAUGGUCUAAAUCUCAGUUUUCAUUGGGAACUUUCUUCAUUGCAUAGAGGAUGCUUUAUCAUCUGUUUUAUUAUACCUAACAAUGCAAGUGUUAAAUGUUGGGAAUACAGAAAGACAGACAUAAUGAUUAUGAUAAGUUAACAAAUAAUUUUACUUCAAAUAUAAUGAAUAUUUAAACUGGAAUUGACUAUUCACAUGUUAUGCUCAUUGAUUGUUGACAUUAUGUGUUGAAAAACAGAAAUAAGUCAAAAGAAUUACAAGACAGAAAGUCCAAAAGUCACAAUUUAUCAAUUGAUAAUAAAUUUGUUUGCUCUAUAAUAGAAUAGAAUGUUUCUAAAAAUGUCGAUUGAAUUAGACUUUCUAUAAAAAAAAUAUCUCUCCAAACCACAUU
Molecule: long non-coding RNA, 1876 nt
Organism: Mytilus trossulus (common blue mussel)
Lineage: Eukaryota; Metazoa; Mollusca; Bivalvia; Mytilida; Mytilidae
Exons: 8
Source: RefSeq, a predicted model, not a curated record